This 448-nucleotide ribosomal RNA is filed under the name uncultured bacterium. RNAcentral describes it as "bacterial SSU rRNA". It matches the Rfam family "Bacterial small subunit ribosomal RNA", at positions 328 to 793 of the family's 1533-position model. The record is from RNAcentral.
CGCUGUCACUCCUACGGGAGGCAGCAGUGGGGAAUCUUGGACAAUGGGCGCAAGCCUGAUCCAGCCAUGCCGCGUGAGUGAUGAAGGCCCUAGGGUCGUAAAGCUCUUUCGCCAGGGAUGAUAAUGACAGUACCUGGUAAAGAAACCCCGGCUAACUCCGUGCCAGCAGCCGCGGUAAUACGGAGGGGGUUAGCGUUGUUCGGAAUUACUGGGCGUAAAGCGCGCGUAGGCGGACUGGAAAGUUGGGGGUGAAAUCCCGGGGCUCAACCCCGGAACUGCCUCCAAAACUCCCAGUCUUGAGUUCGAGAGAGGUGAGUGGAAUUCCGAGUGUAGAGGUGAAAUUCGUAGAUAUUCGGAGGAACACCAGUGGCGAAGGCGGCUCACUGGCUCGAUACUGACGCUGAGGUGCGAAAGUGUGGGGAGCAAACAGGAUUAGAUACCCUGGUAG